GACAUCCAGAGAACUUAGCAGAGAUGCUUUGGUGCCUUCGGGAACUCUGAGACAGGUGCUGCAUGGCUGUCGUCAGCUCGUGUUGUGAAAUGUUGGGUUAAGUCCCGNAACGAGCGCAACCCUUAUCCUUUGUUGCCAGCGGUUCGGCCGGGAACUCAAAGGAGACUGCCGGUGAUAAACCGGAGGAAGGUGGGGAUGACGUCAAGUCAUCAUGGCCCUUACGGCCAGGGCUACACACGUGCUACAAUGGCGCAUACAAAGAGAAGCGACCUCGCGAGAGCAAGCGGACCUCAUAAAGUGCGUCGUAGUCCGGAUUGGAGUCUGCAACUCGACUCCAUGAAGUCGGAAUCGCUAGUAAUCGUAGAUCAGAAUGCUACGGUGAAUACGUUCCCGGGCCUUGUACACACCGCCCGUCACACCAUGGGAGUGGGUUGCAAAAGAAGUAGGUAGCUUAACCUUCGGGAGGGCGCUUACCACUUUGUUGAUUCAUGACUGGGGUGAAGUCGUAACAAGGUAGGCGUAGCGAG
Molecule: ribosomal RNA, 527 nt
Filed under: uncultured bacterium
Lineage: Bacteria
Description: bacterial SSU rRNA
Rfam family: Bacterial small subunit ribosomal RNA
Source: RNAcentral